CAAAAGCCUGAUCCUUAUUCUUCUUUUUUUUCUUUUCUGUUUGAAUAUAUCGGCUGGUACCGCCAGUGAAAGGGUUUUCCCCAUCUUUGUAAAUGGCUUUUUKCYGCGGUAAUACGGAGGAUCCGAGCGUUAUCCGGAUUUAUUGGGUUUAAAGGGAGCGUAGGUGGACAGUUAAGUCAGUUGUGAAAGUUUGCGGCUCAACCGUAAAAUUGCAGUUGAUACUGGCUGUCUUGAGUACAGUAGAGGUGGGCGGAAUUCGUGGUGUAGCGGUGAAAUGCUUAGAUAUCACGAAGAACUCCGAUUGCGAAGGCAGCUCACUGGACUGCAACUGACACUGAUGCUCGAAAGUGUGGGUAUCAAACAGGAUUAGAUACCCUGGUAGUCCACACAGUAAACGAUGAAUACUCGCUGUUUGCGAUAUACAGUAAGCGGCCAAGCGAAAGCAUUAAGUAUUCCACCUGGGGAGUACGCCGGCAACGGUGAAACUCAAAGGAAUUGACGGGGGCCCGCACAAGCGGAGGAACAUGUGGUUUAAUUCGAUGAUACGCGAGGAACCUUACCCGGGCUUAAAUUGCAUUUGAAUAUAUUGGAAACAGUAUAGUCGUAAGACAAAUGUGAAGGUGCUGCAUGGUUGUCGUCAGCUCGUGCCGUGAGGUGUCGGCUUAAGUGCCAUAACGAGCGCAACCCUUAUCUUUAGUUACUAACAGGUCAUGCUGAGGACUCUAGAGAGACUGCCGUCGUAAGAUGUGAGGAAGGUGGGGAUGACGUCAAAUCAGCACGGCCCUUACGUCCGGGGCUACACACGUGUUACAAUGGGGGGUACAGAAGGCAGCUACCUGGUGACAGGAUGCUAAUCCCAAAAGCCUCU
Molecule: ribosomal RNA, 868 nt
Filed under: Bacteroides thetaiotaomicron
Lineage: Bacteria; Pseudomonadati; Bacteroidota; Bacteroidia; Bacteroidales; Bacteroidaceae
Description: bacterial SSU rRNA
Source: RNAcentral